Molecule: long non-coding RNA, 345 nt
Organism: Gymnodraco acuticeps
Lineage: Eukaryota; Metazoa; Chordata; Actinopteri; Perciformes; Bathydraconidae
Exons: 3
Source: RefSeq, a predicted model, not a curated record
CUUGAAGAGAGAAGCAUUUGAAUCCAACAGAAGCUGCAUAGUAUGAGGAGAGAAGUCAUUUUACUUCAAGAAAAUAUGAAGUGGCCAGCGAUUUUUGUCUUGCUGAGCAUAUGCUCACAGGCUGCAGCACAAGAUAUCGAAGUAUCCGUGUUCUCUGCAACAUCGAAGAGCGCGAUUCUCAGAUGGACCAGGGUCUACGGAGCCAGCUCAUACAAGGUCAUCGCCGCCCCCCAGAACUCCCCAGGCAACCCCGUUGGUUAUGCCUUGUUUGGUCCAAACACAGUGAUGGGCACCAUCAACUCUCUGUCCCCAAACAUCAUGUAUACAUUCACAGUUGCAGCUCUG